This 500-nucleotide ribosomal RNA is filed under the name uncultured bacterium. Its description in RNAcentral is "bacterial SSU rRNA". It matches the Rfam family "Bacterial small subunit ribosomal RNA", at positions 29 to 521 of the family's 1533-position model. The record is from RNAcentral.
AUUGAACGCUGGCGGCGUGCCUAACACAUGCAAGUCGAGCGGUAACAGGUGUAGCAAUACAUGCUGACGAGCGGCGGACGGGUGAGUAACGCUUGGGAAUCUGCCUAUUAGUGGGGGACAACCCGGGGAAACUCGGGCUAAUACCGCAUACGCUCUACGGAGGAAAGCCGGGGACCGCAAGGCCUGGCGCUAAUAGAUGAGCCCAAGUCGGAUUAGCUAGUUGGUAGGGUAANGGCCUACCAAGGCGACGAUCCGUAACUGGUCUGAGAGGACGACCAGUCACACCGGAACUGAGACACGGUCCGGACUCCUACGGGAGGGCAGCAGUGGGGAAGUAUUGGACAAUGGGCGAAAGCCUGAUCCAGCGACGCCGCGUGGGUGAAGAAGGCCUGCGGGUUGUAAAGCCCUUUCAGUGGGGAAGAAAGCCUCGACCUAACACGUCGGGGUCUUGACGUACCCAUAGAAGAAGCACCGGCUAACUCUGUGCCAGCCGCCGCGGU